AAACUAGGAUUAGAUACCCUACUAUGAUGUGGAUACUUUAAGGUAGUAAUUAAUAAUUAAAAAACUUAACCUUUCUGGCGGCCUGUUUUUCUUCAGAGGAGCUUGAUUUUAUAACCUGAUACCCCUCCUUUAUCUUCACCUUUAGUAUUUUUAUGUGCGGCUGUUAAGUUUUAAGAUACAGCUUAUUCCUAAAAAUAAUUUUAUCUUAAUUCAGGUCAAUGUGUAGAAAAUCUAAUGGAUAAAUUGAGCUACUUUUAUUAUUUUUGUGAAGUAAUUCUCAAUAAAAAUGGAUUUGAAAGUAAGCAGUUGUUUAAAUCUGUUGCUGGUUAGUUUUUAAGCAGGAGUACAUAUCGCCCGUCACUCUUUUGAUAGAUAAGUCGUAACAUAGUA
This 390-nucleotide ribosomal RNA is filed under the name Amblyseius largoensis. Its description in RNAcentral is "partial 12S ribosomal RNA". The record is from RNAcentral. Lineage: Eukaryota; Metazoa; Arthropoda; Arachnida; Mesostigmata; Phytoseiidae.